This 1397-nucleotide ribosomal RNA is filed under the name bacterium NLAE-zl-P269. RNAcentral's name for it is "16S ribosomal RNA". It matches the Rfam family "Bacterial small subunit ribosomal RNA". The record is from RNAcentral.
AGUCGAGGGGCAGCAUUUCAGUUUGCUUGCAAACUGGAGAUGGCGACCGGCGCACGGGUGAGUAACACGUAUCCAACCUGCCGAUAACUCGGGGAUAGCCUUUCGAAAGAAAGAUUAAUACCCGAUGGNAUAAUCAGACCGCAUGGUCUUAUUAUUAAAGAAUUUCGGUUAUCGAUGGGGAUGCGUUCCAUUAGGCAGUUGGUGAGGUAACGGCUCACCAAACCUUCGAUGGAUAGGGGUUCUGAGAGGAAGGUCCCCCACAUUGGAACUGAGACACGGUCCAAACUCCUACGGGAGGCAGCAGUGAGGAAUAUUGGUCAAUGGGCGCAGGCCUGAACCAGCCAAGUAGCGUGAAGGAUGACUGCCCUAUGGGUUGUAAACUUCUUUUAUAUGGGAAUAAAGUUUUCCACGUGUGGAAUUUUGUAUGUACCAUAUGAAUAAGGAUCGGCUAACUCCGUGCCAGCAGCCGCGGUAAUACGGAGGAUCCGAGCGUUAUCCGGAUUUAUUGGGUUUAAAGGGAGCGUAGGUGGACAGUUAAGUCAGUUGUGAAAGUUUGCGGCUCAACCGUAAAAUUGCAGUUGAUACUGGCUGUCUUGAGUACAGUAGAGGUGGGCGGAAUUCGUGGUGUAGCGGUGAAAUGCUUAGAUAUCACGAAGAACUCCGAUUGCGAAGGCAGCUCACUGGACUGCAACUGACACUGAUGCUCGAAAGUGUGGGUAUCAAACAGGAUUAGAUACCCUGGUAGUCCACACAGUAAACGAUGAAUACUCGCUGUUUGCGAUAUACAGUAAGCGGCCAAGCGAAAGCAUUAAGUAUUCCACCUGGGGAGUACGCCGGCAACGGUGAAACUCAAAGGAAUUGACGGGGGCCCGCACAAGCGGAGGAACAUGUGGUUUAAUUCGAUGAUACGCGAGGAACCUUACCCGGGCUUAAAUUGCAUUUGAAUANUNUGGAAACAGNNUAGCCGNAAGGCAAAUGUGAAGGUGCUGCAUGGUUGUCGUCAGCUCGUGCCGUGAGGUGUCGGCUUAAGUGCCAUAACGAGCGCAACCCUUAUCUUUAGUUACUAACAGGUCAUGCUGAGGACUCUAGAGAGACUGCCGUCGUAAGAUGUGAGGAAGGUGGGGAUGACGUCAAAUCAGCACGGCCCUUACGUCCGGGGCUACACACGUGUUACAAUGGGGGGUACAGAAGGCAGCUACCUGGUGACAGGAUGCUAAUCCCAAAAGCCUCUCUCAGUUCGGAUCGAAGUCUGCAACCCGACUUCGUGAAGCUGGAUUCGCUAGUAAUCGCGCAUCAGCCAUGGCGCGGUGAAUACGUUCCCGGGCCUUGUACACACCGCCCGUCAAGCCAUGAAAGCCGGGGGUACCUGAAGUACGUAACCGCAAGGAGCUCCUAGG